RNAcentral lists this ribosomal RNA (483 nucleotides) under uncultured bacterium. Its description in RNAcentral is "partial 16S ribosomal RNA". It matches the Rfam family "Bacterial small subunit ribosomal RNA", at positions 28 to 523 of the family's 1533-position model. The record is from RNAcentral.
GAUGAACGCUAGCGGCAGGCCUAAUACAUGCAAGUCGAACGAUGAUGCCCAGCUUGCUGGGUGGAUUAGUGGCGAACGGGUGAGUAACACGUGAGUAACCUGCCCCUGACUCUGGGAUAAGCGUUGGAAACGACGUCUAAUACUGGAUAUGACUGCCGGCCGCAUGGUCUGGUGGUGGAAAGAUUUUUUGGUUGGGGAUGGACUCGCGGCCUAUCAGCUUGUUGGUGAGGUAAUGGCUCACCAAGGCGACGACGGGUAGCCGGCCUGAGAGGGUGACCGGCCACACUGGGACUGAGACACGGCCCAGACUCCUACGGGAGGCAGCAGUGGGGAAUAUUGCACAAUGGGCGAAAGCCUGAUGCAGCAACGCCGCGUGAGGGAUGACGGCCUUCGGGUUGUAAACCUCUUUUAGUAGGGAAGAAGCGAAAGUGACGGUACCUGCAGAAAAAGCACCGGCUAACUACGUGCCAGCCGCCGCCGUAA